UGGAGACUCCUACGGGAGGCAGCAGUGAGGAAUAUUGGUCAAUGGACGGAAGUCUGAACCAGCCAAGUAGCGUGCAGGAUGACGGCCCUCUGGGUUGUACACUGCUUUUAGUUGGGAAUAAAAAAGAGGACGUGUCCUCUAUUGUAUGUACCUUCAGAAAAAGGACCGGCUAAUUCCGUGCCAGCAGCCGCGGUAAUACGGAAGGGCCAGGCGUUAUCCGGAUUUAUUGGGUUUAAAGGGAGCGUAGGCGGAUUAUUAAGUCAGUGGUGAAAGACGGUGGCUCAACCAUCGUUAGCCAUUGAAACGUGUAGUCUUGAGUGCAGACAGGGAUGCUGGAACUCGUGGUGUAGCGGUGAAAUGCUUAGAUAUCACGAUGAACUCCGAUCGCGAAGGCAGGUGUCCGGGCUGCAACUGACGCUGAGGCUCGAAAGUGUGGGUAUCAAACAGGAUUAGAAACCCCGGUAGUCCAGAAGUG
This 475-nucleotide ribosomal RNA is filed under the name uncultured bacterium. RNAcentral describes it as "bacterial SSU rRNA". It matches the Rfam family "Bacterial small subunit ribosomal RNA", at positions 330 to 803 of the family's 1533-position model. The record is from RNAcentral.